Molecule: ribosomal RNA, 930 nt
Filed under: Frigoribacterium sp. Tianshan213-23
Lineage: Bacteria; Bacillati; Actinomycetota; Actinomycetes; Micrococcales; Microbacteriaceae
Description: bacterial SSU rRNA
Rfam family: Bacterial small subunit ribosomal RNA
Source: RNAcentral
GCUCGUAGGCGGUUUGUCGCGUCUGCUGUGAAAACCCGAGGCUCAACCUCGGGCCUGCAGUGGGUACGGGCAGACUAGAGUGCGGUAGGGGAGAUUGGAAUUCCUGGUGUAGCGGUGGAAUGCGCAGAUAUCAGGAGGAACACCAAUGGCGAAGGCAGAUCUCUGGGCCGUAACUGACGCUGAGGAGCGAAAGCAUGGGGAGCGAACAGGAUUAGAUACCCUGGUAGUCCAUGCCGUAAACGUUGGGAACUAGAUGUGGGGACCAUUCCACGGUCUCCGUGUCGCAGCUAACGCAUUAAGUUCCCCGCCUGGGGAGUACGGCCGCAAGGCUAAAACUCAAAGGAAUUGACGGGGGCCCGCACAAGCGGCGGAGCAUGCGGAUUAAUUCGAUGCAACGCGAAGAACCUUACCAAGGCUUGACAUAUAGAGGAAACGGCUGGAAACAGUCGCCCCGCAAGGUCUCUAUACAGGUGGUGCAUGGUUGUCGUCAGCUCGUGUCGUGAGAUGUUGGGUUAAGUCCCGCAACGAGCGCAACCCUCGUCCUAUGUUGCCAGCACGUAAUGGUGGGAACUCAUGGGAUACUGCCGGGGUCAACUCGGAGGAAGGUGGGGAUGACGUCAAAUCAUCAUGCCCCUUAUGUCUUGGGCUUCACGCAUGCUACAAUGGCCGGUACAAAGGGCUGCAAUACCGCAAGGUGGAGCGAAUCCCAAAAAGCCGGUCUCAGUUCGGAUUGAGGUCUGCAACUCGACCUCAUGAAGUCGGAGUCGCUAGUAAUCGCAGAUCAGCAACGCUGCGGUGAAUACGUUCCCCGGGCCUUGUACACACCGCCCGUCAAGUCAUGAAAGUCGGUAACACCCGAAGCCAGUGGCCAAACCCGCAAGGGAUGGAGCUGUCGAAGGUGGGAUCGGUGAUUAGGACUAAGUCGUAACA